AAUCAACGCUGGCGGCGUGCCUCAGACAUGCAAGUCGAACGAUUAAAGCUCUCUUCGGAGAGUGCAUAGAGUGGCGCACGGGUGAGUAACACGUAAGUAAUCUACCCUCGGGUGGGGAAUAACAUCGGGAAGCCGAUGCUAAUACCGCAUAAUGCAGCGGCACCGCAAGGUGACAGUUGUUAAAGAUUUAUUGCCUGGGGAGGAGCUUGCGGCAGAUUAGCUUGUUGGUAAGGAAACGGCUUACCAAGGCUACGAUCUGUAUCCGGUCUAAGAGGACGGUCGGACACACUGACACUGAAUAACGGGUCAGACUCCUACGGGAGGCAGCAGUCGGGAAUUUUGGGCAAUGGGGGAAACCCUGACCCAGCAACGCCGCGUGAAGGAUGAAGUAUUUCGGUAUGUAAACUUCGAAAGAAUAGGAAGAAUUAAUGACGGUACUAUUUAUAAGGUCCGGCUAACUACGUGCCAGCCGCCGCCGUAA
RNAcentral lists this ribosomal RNA (481 nucleotides) under uncultured bacterium. RNAcentral describes it as "partial 16S ribosomal RNA". It matches the Rfam family "Bacterial small subunit ribosomal RNA", at positions 32 to 523 of the family's 1533-position model. The record is from RNAcentral.